This is a non-coding RNA of Podarcis lilfordi (Lilford's wall lizard), 74 nucleotides long. Lineage: Eukaryota; Metazoa; Chordata; Lepidosauria; Squamata; Lacertidae. The record is from the annotation of a GenBank genome assembly.
ACCGGGAUAGCUCAGCUGGUAAGAACAUGGUGUUGAUAACACCAAGGUUGUAGGUUUGAUCCUCCUCGUGUGCU